This 69-nucleotide transfer RNA is filed under the name Xenopus cf. tropicalis Asashima-A-001. Its description in RNAcentral is "tRNA-Arg". It matches the Rfam family "tRNA". From Rfam's summary of the family: Transfer RNA (tRNA) molecules are approximately 80 nucleotides in length. Their secondary structure includes four short double-helical elements and three loops (D, anti-codon, and T loops). Lineage: Eukaryota; Metazoa; Chordata; Amphibia; Anura; Pipidae. The record is from RNAcentral.
GGGCAGUUAGUCCAAUCAAGACAGUUGAUUUCGGCUCAACAAAUUAUGGUUAAACUCCAUAACUGCCCU